GUUUGAGGCUAGUGCCUAGUGUCCAACAAACCAUAGAGUAAGGAACUGAAGUUUAUACAGCAUUUAUAAUGACUCAACUGCCUCAAAUGCGUGAUGGCUGUAGCUACAGAAAUAUGCCAUUGGACAGAUGAAGUCUACUCCCCCAAAGCAAUGUAUGCUGCCUUGGAUCAAGAGUCAAGGGUGUGUUCUCCAUCAACAGAUGCUGAGACCUGCAGUUGAUGAGCUUCAAACAUUGUGUGUCUGGUAUUAAAAUGAACUGCUCUCUUCUAUAUGUGUGAGGGUUGUCAUCUCUGAAGAUAUCCAGCCAUCAAUUGAUGAGUAGAUGCUGAGACCUGUAGUUGAAGCUCCAAAUAGUGUGUCCGGUAAAUGAACUGCUCUCAACUUUAUCAAUACCAACUUAUUGAGACAGAGAGUGUCGGAUCUCCACUCACAUUCCAGUCCAUUACCAGUGGAGAUGCAGUGUUGGUCAACAGUAAUUUAGUCUUUGUAGCUUUGAAUUUAUAACUACUUGUAUCUGGGAUGGAUCUGAAGGUUUAAUAUAAUACCACCAAGAUAAUGAAGGCUUUUCUUGAAAGAGCAUCAUUGUCUGCAAGAUUGAAAUGUGCACAUCCUGAGUGUGGUGAAUCAUUCAUACUUCCCUUGUGUGGUGAUCUACCUACAUGUUUAUUUACCCAUGGUGAAUCAUUCAUACUUUCCUUGUGUGGUGAUCUACGUAUAUUUACCCAUGUUGAAUCGUUCAUACUUUUCUUGUGUGGUGAUCUAUCUAUAUUUUUGUUGUAUGGUGAAUCAUUCAUACUUUC
Long non-coding RNA from Asterias rubens (European starfish), 800 nucleotides. RefSeq lists it as uncharacterized. The record is from RefSeq and is a predicted model, not a curated record. The transcript has 5 exons. NCBI's taxonomy places the organism in Eukaryota, Metazoa, Echinodermata, Asteroidea, Forcipulatida, Asteriidae.